This 496-nucleotide ribosomal RNA is filed under the name uncultured bacterium. RNAcentral's name for it is "partial 16S ribosomal RNA". It matches the Rfam family "Bacterial small subunit ribosomal RNA", at positions 28 to 507 of the family's 1533-position model. The record is from RNAcentral.
GAUGAACGCUGGCGGCGUGCCUAAUACAUGCAAGUCGAGCGAACGGACGAGAAGCUUGCUUCUCUGAUGUUAGCGGCGGACGGGUGAGUAACACGUGGAUAACCUACCUAUAAGACUGGGAUACUUCGGGAAACCGGAGCUAAUACCGGAUAAUAUUUUGAACCGCAUGGUUCAAAAGUGAAAGACGGUCUUGCUGUCACUUAUAGAUGGAUCCGCGCUGCAUUAGCUAGUUGGUAAGGUAACGGCUUACCAAGGCAACGAUGCAUAGCCGACCUGAGAGGGUGAUCGGCCACACUGGAACUGAGACACGGUCCAGACUCCUACGGGAGGCAGCAGUAGGGAAUCUUCCGCAAUGGGCGAAAGCCUGACGGAGCAACGCCGCGUGAGUGAUGAAGGUCUUCGGAUCGUAAAACUCUGUUAUUAGGGAAGAACAUAUGUGUAAGUAACUGUGCACAUCUUGGCGGUACCUAAUCAGAAAGCCACGGCUAACUACGUG